UGGGGAAUAUUGGACAAUGGGCGCAAGCCUGAUCCAGCCAUGCCGCGUGAGUGAUGAAGGCCUUCGGGUUGUAAAGCUCUUUCGCACGCGACGAUGAUGACGGUAGCGUGAGAAGAAGCCCCGGCUAACUUCGUGCCAGCAGCCGCGGUAAUACGAAGGGGGCUAGCGUUGUUCGGAAUUACUGGGCGUAAAGGGCGCGUAGGCGGCUUAUCAAGUCAGGCGUGAAAGCCCCGGGCUUAACCUGGGAACUGCGCUUGAGACUGUUAGGCUUGAGUUUCGGAGAGGUAGGUGGAAUUCCCAGUGUAGAGGUGAAAUUCGUAGAUAUUGGGAAGAACACCGGUGGCGAAGGCGGCCUACUGGACGAAUACUGACGCUGAGGCGCGAA
Molecule: ribosomal RNA, 385 nt
Filed under: uncultured bacterium
Lineage: Bacteria
Description: bacterial SSU rRNA
Rfam family: Bacterial small subunit ribosomal RNA
Source: RNAcentral